Ailuropoda melanoleuca (giant panda) is the source of this 565-nucleotide long non-coding RNA. RefSeq lists it as uncharacterized. The record is from RefSeq and is a predicted model, not a curated record. The transcript is spliced from 3 exons. NCBI's taxonomy places the organism in Eukaryota, Metazoa, Chordata, Mammalia, Carnivora, Ursidae.
CCUUCCUUUCUGUCCUUCCCUCCUUCUGGCAUCUUCUGGCAUUUCCCCCAUCGAGCUCUUUCCCUGGCAUGUGUGGGCAGCUGCUGGUAGCUAUCCUGAGAUGUGACAUCAUGGGCGCUUUCAGGGAAGAAGCUGGCAGAGUGGCGAUUCCCGUGGCAGCCACUGGAGGGAGUUGGCCCCCCGGCAGGUGAAGGUUGUAGACUGCAGGAGGGCAUGGCGAGCGGGGCUGGGAGCCAGACCAUCUCCCCUCAUCAGGCCGAGAGACCCUGGGGGCCGCUUCUACCUGGAAGGGGUGGUGUCUCACUAACCACACCAGAUCAAUGUCGUUGGGGGACGAUCUAGACACAAGCGCUGUGAGAACGCUCCUUCGGGGGAACUUGACAAAUGCAUGCGUGUCUGGAGCUACCCCGUGCUGGAGACGUAGGACAUGCCCGUCGUCAGCUGGAAAGUUCCUCACAACCAGGCGCAGCCGAUUCCCCUGCCUCCAGCCUCAGGCGCCCACCGAUCGGCUUUCUGUCGCUAGAGAUGCGUUUUGCCUCCUCUCAGAUGUUACGUACAUGGAAUC